AUGUGGCUUAGAUGGCAAACACAGGUAUGGAGUCUUGAUAUAUCAAACACAAGCAUAAAUGACAUGGUACCAGGUUGGUUUUGGAUAGCAGCUUCCUCAGCAGAGUUUCUGAACAUUCGAAAUAAUCAGAUUACAGGAGUGCUCCCAUCAACAAUGGAAUUUAUGAGAGCAACAAAUAUGGAUUGCAGUUCUAACCAGCUUACUGGUCCAAUACCCAAACUUCCCAUCACUCUGACCGACCUGGAUCUCAGUCGGAACAACCUAGUUGGGCCACUACCAUUAGACUUUGGAGCUCCAGGGCUUGAAACACUUGUUCUAUAUAACAACAUGAUCUCUGGGGCCAUUCCAUCUUCUUUGUGCAGAUUGCGAUCAUUGUGGUUGUUAGAUCUAUCAAGUAAUAACCUCAAUGGAUCAAUUACCGAUUGCCUAGUCAACAAGUCUAGCACAAACAUGACAGAUCUGACUCUAAGCAUCGUUAACCUAAGCUUGAGAAACAACAACCUCUGGUGA
This 510-nucleotide ribosomal RNA is filed under the name Triticum aestivum (bread wheat). RNAcentral describes it as "partial small subunit ribosomal RNA". The record is from RNAcentral. Lineage: Eukaryota; Viridiplantae; Streptophyta; Magnoliopsida; Poales; Poaceae.